GUGGGGAAUAUUGGACAAUGGGCGAAAGCCUGAUCCAGCCAUGCCGCGUGUGUGAAGAAGGUCUUCGGAUUGUAAAGCACUUUAAGUUGGGAGGAAGGGCAGUAAGUUAAUACCUUGCUGUUUUGACGUUACCGACAGAAUAAGCACCGGCUAACUUCGUGCCAGCAGCCGCGGUAAUACGAAGGGUGCAAGCGUUAAUCGGAAUUACUGGGCGUAAAGCGCGCGUAGGUGGUUUUGUAAGUUGGAGGUGAAAUCCCCGGGCUCAACCUGGGAACUGCCUCCAAAACUGCAUGACUAGAGUACGGUAGAGGGUAGUGGAAUUUCCUGUGUAGCGGUGAAAUGCGUAGAUAUAGGAAGGAACACCAGUGGCGAAGGCGACUACCUGGACUGAUACUGACACUGAGGUGCGAAAGCGUGGGGAGCAAACAGGAUUAAAAACCCCUGUAGUCC
This 450-nucleotide ribosomal RNA is filed under the name uncultured bacterium. RNAcentral's name for it is "bacterial SSU rRNA". It matches the Rfam family "Bacterial small subunit ribosomal RNA", at positions 354 to 796 of the family's 1533-position model. The record is from RNAcentral.